This 76-nucleotide transfer RNA is filed under the name Clostridium sp. RNAcentral's name for it is "tRNA-Glu". It matches the Rfam family "tRNA". From Rfam's summary of the family: Transfer RNA (tRNA) molecules are approximately 80 nucleotides in length. The record is from RNAcentral. RNAcentral also lists the same sequence under 5 other names. Lineage: Bacteria; Bacillati; Bacillota; Clostridia; Eubacteriales; Clostridiaceae.
GCUCGAUUCGUCUAGUGGCCUAGGACACCGCCCUCUCACGGCGGGAACAGGGGUUCGACUCCCCUAUCGGGUACCA